UUUUCGGCAAUGGACGCAAGUCUGACCGAGCAACGCCGCGUGAGUGAAGAAGGUUUUCGGAUCGUAAAACUCUGUUGUAAGAGAAGAACGUUGAUGAGAGUGGAAAGUUCAUCAAGUGACGGUAUCUUACCAGAAAGCCACGGCUAACUACGUGCCAGCAGCCGCGGUAAUACGUAGGUGGCAAGCGUUGUCCGGAUUUAUUGGGCGUAAAGCGAGCGCAGGCGGUUGAUUAAGUCUGAUGUGAAAGCCCCCGGCUCAACCGGGGAGGGUCAUUGGAAACUGGUCAACUUGAGUGCAGAAGAGGAGAGUGGAAUUCCAUGUGUAGCGGUGAAAUGCGUAGAUAUAUGGAGGAACACCAGUGGCGAAGGCGGCUCUCUGGUCUGUAACUGACGCUGAGGCUCGAAA
RNAcentral lists this ribosomal RNA (405 nucleotides) under uncultured bacterium. RNAcentral describes it as "bacterial SSU rRNA". It matches the Rfam family "Bacterial small subunit ribosomal RNA", at positions 362 to 758 of the family's 1533-position model. The record is from RNAcentral.